UUAAGCGACUAAGCGUACACGGUGGAUGCCCUGGCAGUCAGAGGCGAUGAAGGACGUGCUAAUCUGCGAAAAGCGUCGGUAAGGUGAUAUGAACCGUUAUAACCGGCGAUGUCCGAAUGGGGAAACCCAGUGUGAUUCGUCACACUAUCGUUAACUGAAUACAUAGGUUAACGAGGCGAACCGGGGGAACUGAAACAUCUAAGUACCCCGAGGAAAAGAAAUCAACCGAGAUUCCCCCAGUAGCGGCGAGCGAACGGGGAGCAGCCCAGAGUCUGAAUCAGCUUGUGUGUUAGUGGAACGGUCUGGAAAGUCCGACGGUACAGGGUGAUAGUCCCGUACACCAAAAUGCACAGGUUGUGAACUCGAAGAGUAGGGCGGGACACGUGGUAUCCUGUCUGAAUAUGGGGGGACCAUCCUCCAAGGCUAAAUACUCCUGACUGACCGAUAGUGAACCAGUACCGUGAGGGAAAGGCGAAAAGAACCCCGGCGAGGGGAGUGAAAAAGAACCUGAAACCGUGUACGUACAAGCAGUGGGAGCACCUUCGGGUGUGACUGCGUACCUUUUGUAUAAUGGGUCAGCGACUUAUAUUCUGUAGCAAGGUUAACCGUAUAGGGGAGCCGCAGGGAAACCGAGUCUUAACUGGGCGUUAAGUUGCAGGGUAUAGACCCGAAACCCGGUGAUCUAGCCAUGGGCAGGUUGAAGGUUGGGUAACACUAACUGGAGGACCGAACCGACUAAUGUUGAAAAAUUAGCGGAUGACUUGUGGCUGGGGUGAAAGGCCAAUCAAACCGGGAGAUAGCUGGUUCUCCCCGAAAGCUAUUUAGGUAGCGCCUCGUGAAUUCAUCUUCGGGGGUAGAGCACUGUUUCGGCUAGGGGGUCAUCCCGACUUACCAACCCGAUGCAAACUACGAAUACCGAAGAAUGUUAUCACGGGAGACACACGGCGGGUGCUAACGUCCGUCGUGAAGAGGGAAACAACCCAGACCGCCAGCUAAGGUCCCAAAGUCAUGGUUAAGUGGGAAACGAUGUGGGAAGGCACAGACAGCCAGGAUGUUGGCUUAGAAGCAGCCAUCAUUUAAAGAAAGCGUAAUAGCUCACUGGUCGAGUCGGCCUGCGCGGAAGAUGUAACGGGGCUAAACCAUGCACCGAAGCUGCGGCAGCGACACUAUGUGUUGUUGGGUAGGGGAGCGUUCUGUAAGCCUGCGAAGGUGGCCUGUGAGGGUUGCUGGAGGUAUCAGAAGUGCGAAUGCUGACAUAAGUAACGAUAAAGCGGGUGAAAAGCCCGCUCGCCGGAAGACCAAGGGUUCCUGUCCAACGUUAAUCGGGGCAGGGUGAGUCGACCCCUAAGGCGAGGCCGAAAGGCGUAGUCGAUGGGAAACAGGUUAAUAUUCCUGUACUUGGUGUUACUGCGAAGGGGGGACGGAGAAGGCUAUGUUAGCCGGGCGACGGUUGUCCCGGUUUAAGCAUGUAGGCUGGUUAUCCAGGCAAAUCCGGAUAAUCAAGGCUGAGGUGUGAUGACGAGGCACUACGGUGCUGAAGUAACAAAUGCCCUGCUUCCAGGAAAAGCCUCUAAGCAUCAGGUAACAUUAAAUCGUACCCCAAACCGACACAGGUGGUCAGGUAGAGAAUACCAAGGCGCUUGAGAGAACUCGGGUGAAGGAACUAGGCAAAAUGGUGCCGUAACUUCGGGAGAAGGCACGCUGGUGUGUAGGUGAAGUCCCUGCGGAUGGAGCUGAGACCAGUCGAAGAUACCAGCUGGCUGCAACUGUUUAUUAAAAACACAGCACUGUGCAAACACGAAAGUGGACGUAUACGGUGUGACGCCUGCCCGGUGCCGGAAGGUUAAUUGAUGGGGUUAUCCGUAAGGAGAAGCUCUUGAUCGAAGCCCCGGUAAACGGCGGCCGUAACUAUAACGGUCCUAAGGUAGCGAAAUUCCUUGUCGGGUAAGUUCCGACCUGCACGAAUGGCGUAAUGAUGGCCAGGCUGUCUCCACCCGAGACUCAGUGAAAUUGAACUCGCUGUGAAGAUGCAGUGUACCCGCGGCAAGACGGAAAGACCCCGUGAACCUUUACUAUAGCUUGACACUGAACAUUGAGCCUUGAUGUGUAGGAUAGGUGGGAGGCUUUGAAGCGUGGACGCCAGUCUGCGUGGAGCCAACCUUGAAAUACCACCCUUUAAUGUUUGAUGUUCUAACGUUGGCCCCUGACCGGGGUUGCGGACAGUGUCUGGUGGGUAGUUUGACUGGGGCGGUCUCCUCCCAAAGCGUAACGGAGGAGCACGAAGGUUAGCUAAUCCUGGUCGGACAUCAGGAGGUUAGUGCAAUGGCAUAAGCUAGCUUGACUGCGAGCGUGACGGCGCGAGCAGGUGCGAAAGCAGGUCAUAGUGAUCCGGUGGUUCUGAAUGGAAGGGCCAUCGCUCAACGGAUAAAAGGUACUCCGGGGAUAACAGGCUGAUACCGCCCAAGAGUUCAUAUCGACGGCGGUGUUUGGCACCUCGAUGUCGGCUCAUCACAUCCUGGGGCUGAAGUAGGUCCCAAGGGUAUGGCUGUUCGCCAUUUAAAGUGGUACGCGAGCUGGGUUUAGAACGUCGUGAGACAGUUCGGUCCCUAUCUGCCGUGGGCGCUGGAGAAUUGAGGGGGGCUGCUCCUAGUACGAGAGGACCGGAGUGGACGCAUCACUGGUGUUCGGGUUGUCAUGCCAAUGGCACUGCCCGGUAGCUAAAUGCGGAAGAGAUAAGUGCUGAAAGCAUCUAAGCACGAAACUUGCCCCGAGAUGAGUUCUCCCUGAGACUUUAAGUCUCCUGAAGGAACGUUAAAGACGAUGACGUUGAUAGGCCGGGUGUGUAAGCGCAGCGAUGCGUUGAGCUAACCGGUACUAAUGAACCGUGAGGCUUAACCUU
RNAcentral lists this ribosomal RNA (2899 nucleotides) under Klebsiella pneumoniae. RNAcentral describes it as "23S ribosomal RNA". It matches the Rfam family "Bacterial large subunit ribosomal RNA". Lineage: Bacteria; Pseudomonadati; Pseudomonadota; Gammaproteobacteria; Enterobacterales; Enterobacteriaceae. The record is from RNAcentral.